GGCUGAGUACCCCGUGGGCAACCUGCCCCCUCCACCGGGACAGCCUCGGGAACCCGUGGGUAAUACCGGAUACUCCGGGACGGCCGCAUGGCCGGCCCGGGAAAGCCCAGACGGGAGGGGAUGGGCCCGCGGCCUGUUAGCUAGUCGGCGGGGUAACGGCCCACCGAGGCGAUUAUGGGUAGCCGGGUUGAGAGACCGACCGGCCAGAUUGGGACUGAGACACGGCCCAGACUCCUACGGGAGGCAGCAGUGGGGAAUCUUGCGCAAUGGGCGGAAGCCUGACGCAGCGACGCCGCGUGCGGGACGAAGGCCUUCGGGUCGUAAACCGCUUUCAGCAGGGACGAGGCCCUCACGGUGACGGUACCUGCAGAAGAAGCCCCGGCUAACUACGUGCCAGCAGCCGCGGUAAUACGUAGGGGGCGAGCGUUAUCCGGAUUCAUUGGGCGUAAAGCGCGCGUAGGCGGCCUGUUAGGUCGGGGGUCAAAUACCGGGGCUCAACCCCGGUCCGCCCCCGAUACCGGCAGGCUUGAGUCUGGUAGGGGAAGGCGGAAUUCCCAGUGUAGCGGUGGAAUGCGCAGAUAUUGGGAAGAACACCGGCGGCGAAGGCGGCCUUCUGGGCCACGACUGACGCUGAGGCGCGAAAGCUAGGGGAGCGAACAGGAUUAGAUACCCUGGUAGUCCUAGCCGUAAACGACG
Molecule: ribosomal RNA, 696 nt
Filed under: uncultured bacterium
Lineage: Bacteria
Description: bacterial SSU rRNA
Rfam family: Bacterial small subunit ribosomal RNA
Source: RNAcentral